Molecule: ribosomal RNA, 427 nt
Filed under: uncultured bacterium
Lineage: Bacteria
Description: partial 16S ribosomal RNA
Rfam family: Bacterial small subunit ribosomal RNA
Source: RNAcentral
UGGGGAAUAUUGCACAAUGGGCGCAAGCCUGAUGCAGCCAUGCCGCGUGUGUGAAGAAGGCCUUCGGGUUGUAAAGCACUUUCAGCGAGGAGGAAGGGUAGUGUGUUAAUAGCACAUUGCAUUGACGUUACUCGCAGAAGAAGCACCGGCUAACUCCGUGCCAGCAGCCGCGGUAAUAAGGAGGGUGCAAGCGUUAAUCGGAAUUACUGGGCGUAAAGCGCACGCAGGCGGUUUGUUAAGUCAGAUGUGAAAUCCCCGCGCUUAACGUGGGAACUGCAUUUGAAACUGGCAAGCUAGAGUCUUGUAGAGGGGGGUAGAAUUCCAGGUGUAGCGGUGAAAUGCGUAGAGAUCUGGAGGAAUACCGGUGGCGAAGGCGGCCCCCUGGACAAAGACUGACGCUCAGGUGCGAAAGCGUGGGGAGCAAACA